GACGAACGCUGGCGGCGUGCCUAAUACAUGCAAGUAGAACGCUGAAGAGAGGAGCUUGCUCUUCUUGGAUGAGUUGCGAACGGGUGAGUAACGCGUAGGUAACCUGCCUUGUAGCGGGGGAUAACUAUUGGAAACGAUAGCUAAUACCGCAUAACAAUGGAUGACACAUGUCAUUUAUUUGAAAGGGGCAAUUGCUCCACUACAAGAUGGACCUGCGUUGUAUUAGCUAGUAGGUGAGGUAACGGCUCACCUAGGCGACGAUACAUAGCCGACCUGAGAGGGUGAUCGGCCACACUGGGACGGAGACACGGCCCAGACUCCUACGGGAGGCAGCAGUAGGGAAUCUUCGGCAAUGGGGGCAACCCUGACCGAGCAACGCCGCGUGAGUGAAGAAGGGUUUCGGAUCGUAAAGCUCUGUUGUAAGUCAAGAACGAGUGUGAGAGUGGAAAGUUCACACUGUGACGGUAGCUUACCAGAAAGGGACGGCUAACUACGUG
This 497-nucleotide ribosomal RNA is filed under the name uncultured bacterium. Its description in RNAcentral is "partial 16S ribosomal RNA". It matches the Rfam family "Bacterial small subunit ribosomal RNA", at positions 28 to 507 of the family's 1533-position model. The record is from RNAcentral.